This 253-nucleotide ribosomal RNA is filed under the name uncultured bacterium. RNAcentral describes it as "partial 16S ribosomal RNA". It matches the Rfam family "Bacterial small subunit ribosomal RNA", at positions 524 to 776 of the family's 1533-position model. The record is from RNAcentral.
UACAGAGGCCCCAAGCGUUACUGAGAAUCACUGGGUUUAAAGGGUGCGUAGGUGGCGCGUUAAGUCCGUUGUGAAAGCCCUGGGCUCAACCCAGGAACUGCUUCGGAUACUGGCGCGCUUGAGGCUAGUAGAGGUCACUGGAACUGACGGUGGAGCGGUGAAAUGCGUAGAUAUCGUCAGGAACGCCAAUGGUGAAGACAGGUGACUGGGCUAGAUCUGACACUGAGGCACGAAAGCGUGGGGAUCAAACGGG